The sequence is a transfer RNA, 97 nucleotides long. It matches the Rfam family "tRNA". Rfam says of the family: Transfer RNA (tRNA) molecules are approximately 80 nucleotides in length. Their secondary structure includes four short double-helical elements and three loops (D, anti-codon, and T loops). Further hydrogen bonds mediate the characteristic L-shaped molecular structure. tRNAs have two regions of fundamental functional importance: the anti-codon, which is responsible for specific mRNA codon recognition, and the 3' end, to which the tRNAs corresponding amino acid is attached (by aminoacyl-tRNA synthetases). tRNAs cope with the degeneracy of the genetic code in two manners: having more than one tRNA (with a specific anti-codon) for a particular amino acid; and 'wobble' base-pairing, i.e. permitting non-standard base-pairing at the 3rd anti-codon position. The record is from Rfam.
GGGCGUGUAGCUCAGUUGGUAGAGCGUGUCAUUAGCAUCUGCGAGCAUUUGUCAGAAUAUCUUGACAAGGUCUUUGGUUCGAUUCCUAACUCGUCCA